UACCAUGCUGUAAGGAAGCCCAGGCAUCCAGAGAGGUGCCAUGGUGAUGUGCUGGCUUAGACUCAGCUGAGUUCCCAGAUCACAGCCAGCAUCAACCACUAGAUGUAUGAGUGAAUGAGCUUUCAGCAACUGAUUCCUGCACCCUGCCAUCAAGUCACCCCCAUUUCUGGAUUCAUCUAUUUCUGGCUGCCAUUAUAGCCUUUGCUGCUCACAGGGUAUUGGUAAAGAGAUUGGGAAGAAAGCUGGAAUCCAUGACGUUAGAACCCAAAUUAUGAAGUGCUCAGGCUUAUUGGCUAUUCCUGCCAGCAGCAAUCUGUGGCGUCAGCACUGUGAGCCUCAUCCAACAGGAACUUGAGGGCCAUGGCUGUCACCAAAAGUCCAGAAUUGGAGUGCAAGUACUUGAUCUUCCCUUCGUCAUCUACUUCCGGCCACCAGAACAGCCAUAGAGUCCCUGGCGGUGCCCUGCUUGAGGGACAGCACCAGGGCCUGGAGCGGUGUUAGCCAGAAGGCCUGCCUGUCACUCUCUGGAAGACAUUCUUUUUUAAAUAAAUCUUUCAUUUUGGAAUAAUUUUAGAUUUACAGAAAAGUGA
This is a long non-coding RNA of Suricata suricatta (meerkat), 590 nucleotides long. RefSeq lists it as uncharacterized. NCBI's taxonomy places the organism in Eukaryota, Metazoa, Chordata, Mammalia, Carnivora, Herpestidae. The record is from RefSeq and is a predicted model, not a curated record. The transcript has 3 exons.